AAGAUUGACUCCUUCUAGUUCUAAUCCUAUGUAGCUAUGCUAAUCUAGAUGUCUAAUUGAUGUGGUGGCCCUAAUCUUGAUCAGGGGCUUCUUCUCCCUUGAAGAACAAUGAAUUAGGGUUGAGAGGCUCCCUCCUCCAGGGGCCAGGGGGUCUGGUUUUAUAGUCCCUUCAAGUGAAUAUGGGCCGUUGGAUCAAACCGACAUAGAUUGUAUGGUUUAGAUUCAUCCUUUAGGUCGGUGGAAAUCUCCCGCAAAGCAGAGUCCUGAUUGGACUCAGAGGCAGGGCGGGCGCCCAGGGUCUGGCCCCGUUUCGCCUCCGCUUCGGUCUCGUGGCUUCUGGAGUCUUCUAGAUGUAAGAUAAUUGCGCGUCACGUUAAUAUCUUUACGUAAUCCCGACGUGUGGGUCUUUCUUCCGUAUUUCCUGAUAACUCCCUGCAGAAAUAGACAAACACCAAAACUCGUGGAAUUCUGUCAGAUAAAACCCUAAGUCUAGAUGUUGAUUUCAUUUGGAUCCUUUUCUUUGUUUAUUUGAUAAUUAAAUUUGAUACUUAAGGACCGUCAACAAACUCCCCCAAGCUUACCUCUUGCUCGUCCCUGAGCAAGGAUAGACUCAGCUAUGGAUCAUAAGUUGUUGCAAUAUAUUUAAAAAUUGACGGUACACAUGCUUUUUAAAUAAGAUCUCAUCUCUAAGUUAGAGUAAACUGUCAAGACUUAAAACUUACUUACUUUACCUUCACCAUGGGACUUGUAACUGUCACUUCUAUCUUGAGUAGUUAAACGAUAGAACAGUCUAGUCAAGUGCCAUGUCUCUUAUUCUUGAUCAGCUAUAGCUCUGGGGUUUUUGCAGAUUUUCAAAUAAAACUCAGAGAUUCCUUGUAUGACUCUCUCAGAUCUCUCUUUUGUGGUAUUUCUGGAUCCUUACCAAGGCAGUAAUGGUAUAUGCCUUCUCACAAUAUAUGUGGUAUUUGUGGUAUAAAGCAUAGUGACAUUGCCUUCUCUCUCACCCUACUCUAAUAAGGCUUUAAUAUCUGGAGCUCAUAGGUGGGAGAUAAAGUAUACAUACUUACAAGACAUGUAUUGUAUAGUCAAACCAUGGAUCCAAAGAAACAAAUCAAUAAGCCAAAUCAAGAUGUGCAUGUGUGGCGAAUGAAUGAUGUAUGGUGGUGAUGGUGAUAACAAUGGUGAAAACAAUGGUGGUGGAAGUCUAAUUCUACUUUGCUCUUUGAGGGGAUACAUACCUUCCUUGCUUUUUUUUUGAAUUUAUGAGGAGAAUGAGAUGCUCUUCUUUUUUUCUUUUCUCUCAGGUGGGUAUCUUGUACCCCUAAUUCUACUGUCGGACACUUGUCCAUUUUUACCUCUCGUCUCACUCUCUCUUUUCUUUCGAGGUUCCGAGCACUUGCACCUUUUUAUUUCCUCAUAUUUCUCUUUUUUUUUCUUUUUCUUUUUUUUAGAGCAUUCAUCUCUUGAGAUAAUAUAGCAAGUGGUAGUAACAAGAUAACUUGAGCAUUUAUUUCACAAGGGAAACAUAAAUAUUUUUGGCUAUUCUCUCCCGGAUUAGGAGUAGAAUAUUUUUGGGUGAUUCUGGAGAUGGAAUGGGUGGAUAUAUGUGGAUGGUACUUCCGGAGUAGAAGUAGCAUAUAUGAGUGAACGUACAAGUGAAUCUUGAUUUAACCACAUGACAAGUUCCUAAGGGUCUACACAGCUUGACCACACUCAAUGCUCAUAAGCAGUAAAUAGUAAAUGUGUGGCUCAAAGUCUAGCAAGCAUGUAUAUAUGGCUGUGGUAGGAAUUUAAACUCUCAUCAUACAUGAACUCAUCAUGCAACAUUUUAAAGAUUUUCAAAGAUAAAAUUCUCUAGAAAUCUAGCAUCUCUAGGAACAGAUAAACAGCAGCUCAACCUUCCCAUAUCGUAUCCGUUAACAACUUAGACUUCAGAUCAAAUUUUCAUCCCACAAGUUUAGGUCUAGAGCAAGCUUUAAAUUAUAACAGUUAUAUAUAUCCUUGAGAGUGAACUUAAAAUGUGCAAAUUAGGCAGAGCAACUAUUCAUCAUUUCCAUACUUAAGUUUUAUUUAGAUACAGAUUAGCAUCGCCACUUUAUUUAUUUAUUAAACACACUAAGCAAAAGAUAUAUAUAUAAGCUUAAAAUCUUUAUUUGGUUUUUUAUAGUUUAUGUAUAUUUAAUAUUCUAAUAUAAUAUAAGUAUAAAGAUAGAUAGAAAUACUUAUCGAGAUAAAUGGGGGUGCUCUCUCCCAAGCUGAAUUUUGACGUAAUUUCUCUUGAUGUAGCUAGCAGGUGGCAGAGGUGUAUUUGAAAGUCAGCAGCAUUCUGACAGCGAUUAGAAUGUCCUCCGUCUGCUAGUCUUCUUGAUUCUUAAAUUCUGCGGAGCUCAAAUAGACAACAAAGCUUGUGGAACUGAUUAAGUGUUAGCAUAAAUAUCUAGCCUUUAUCAUCUUGAGACUCCUUAAUAAUUAUUACUCCCUGUUUUUAUAUUUUUAUUUUAUAAAGCAGAAAAGAAAUUUUUAUUUUAUUUUUAUGCCACCACAGUGAAUGUACUUAUGGGUUUUAUGCCACUCGCAUACUCACAUGGGGCUUACUGUUUUUCGCAUUUUUAUUUUCUUUUAUUUUUAAGAUAGUACGAACAUGAUUAACUAAGUAAACUAGUUGAAAUAAUUGAAAAGGAAAGGAUAACUACCAAGUUUACCUCUCGGCAAGGCGUUCGGUGUUUUUUAAGUCCUCCGAACGGGACUCUCCAUUUUUUCAGUAGUCCUGAGGUUCGUUGGUGGUGUAGUCGGUACUUCCAGCGGCGCCUCCUCUUCAUGUAUAGUUAUCUUCAUUUUCCACACCUGACUUGGUGCUUCGGUCUACUCUGGAUAAUUCUGUUUAAACUCUACGUUUUCUGACCUUACAACUUUUCCUUCAUAGUCUGCCCAUCCGUCCUUGAUGAUCUGCCUCCUCUGGUUGCGGUUACGUCUUUUCCUUACCUGCUUAGAUUCUUCAACGAUAUAGUUAGGGUCAGUAAAAUAACGGCGUACCUUCUCUAAGGGGAAGUGCAUAUGGACUUCUCCGGUUCCAAUGUAGAUAAUUGCUUUAACGGUGCUGAGGAACGGUCUUCCAAGGAUGAUGGGUGGAUCGUACUUGUCUUCUCCCAUGUCAAUAACUUGAAAGUCUGUGUAGACAAAGUGAUCGUCUAUUUUGACUGGGACAUCAGUUACUAUUCCUUUAACUUCUCAAAAUGUCUGAUCUGCCAUCUGGAGUUGAAUGUAUGUUGGUCUUAGUGGCAUGGUUCCAAACAAGAGCCGAUAGGUGACUGCGGCCAUUAUGUUGACGCCCGAUCCAGUGUCGCAAAUCAUCUUGAAGAAACUAUAUCCAUUUAUGGAGCAGUAGAUGCUUGGCAUUCCUAGGUCGUCCUUCUUGGUCAAAAGCGGUGACUUAAGUUGGUGAUCUUGGCCUCCAUGAACUACAGUGACCAUCUUAGCUGACUCGGUCCACACUUGCUUGUUCCUGUUCCUCCUGUUGGUCCUCUUCCUUGACUCACGUCUGGAUUGAUCUGGAAUUUUUGUAAUCUUUUUCUUGAAGAAAAAUGUCUCCUUCUUCCCUUUGACGUAGAAACUGAUCUUGGCAGCACUAGCGUAGAUGAUAGCUCCCGUGGUGUUCAAGAAUGGCCUCCCUAAGAUGAUGGGUGCUCUCUCAUCAUUUCCGGUCUUUACCACUACGAAGUCUGCUAGGGCAUACAAGGUACCAACUCGGACGCAAAGGUUCUUCAAUAUUCCCUUUGGAAAAGUUAUCGUCUGAUCUGCAAAUUGCAAACACAUGGUUGUUUCUAAUAAAAGAUAUGUAAAGAAUUUUUCAUAGAGUACCCUGGUUAUAAUGUUGACACUGGAGCCAAAGUCGCAGAGUGCUUCUGGAACGUCCACCAUGCCGAUAGAGAUCGGGAUGACGGGGCGUCCUGGAUCGCCUCUCUUGACCGGCAGAAGGUCAGUAGAGAAUUUAGUGACGGGGUUACUUCCAAUUACCUGCAUCAAACGUGUCUACAAGAUUUGCAGAUUCUAAUCCUUCCGGUUGUGAUUGUAUACCGGGGUUAGUAGUAGGAACAGCAACAGCUAUUUGAUUUAACUGAGAUUCAAUCAUUUUAUUAAAGCUAAUUUGAUUCUUGAUGGCAGUAGAGAAAUUAUCCAUUCUAUUAUUUAUAUUUUCUAGCAUUUUAUCAUUAGAUGCCAAUUUCUUAGAUAGAUUAUCCAUUAGCUUUCCUUGAUUAGACACUAACUCUCUCAAAGGUGGAAAAUUAUUAGCAUUAUUGUUGUAAGAAUUGUUACCUUGAUAAUUACCUGAGUAGUUAGGCCUCUGUUGAUUCCAACCUUGAUUUUGUUGAGGACGGUUGUAGUAGUUGUUGUUGUUGAUGAUGUAGUUCACAUCCUCAAGCAUCUCAGGGCAGUGGUUGCCUGAGUGUCCAGUGUCUCCACACUCCUCACAAGUCAUGUGAGAGUCGUAGAUGUGCAUAACUUCUUUCUUGUCUCCAACUCUAUCAUCGAGCUUCUUCAUGAGCAGGUCUAGCUUUUGCAGACAGCAUGUCUACAUCUUUCAGCUGAUGCAUACCUCCACCUCUCUUGCGUGUCUGGGUCCUCUCUUCAUUCCAGCUUUGGUUGGACGCCAUCUUCUCCACAAGAGCUGUGGCUUGUGGUAUUGUAAGUGAUAAGAAUGCUCCUCCAGCUGCAGCAUCCAUGGUCUCUCGGGCACUGUUGCCGAGCCCAUGAUAAAACGUCUGCAUUAAUAGCCAACUCUCCAUUCCAUGAUGGGGACAUUCUAGGAUGUAGUCUUGAAAGCGCUCCCAUGCUUCUGGAACAAAUUCAUCAUUUUGUUGCUGAAAACUUGUAAUCUUCCCACGGAGAGCAUUGGUCUUGCCCAUGGGAAAGAACUUAGCCAAAAAGUUUGUUGAGCAGAGUGCCCACGUAGUAUUCUUCUCCUUUGUAGCGUAGAACCACUGCUUCGCUCUUCCUCACAGUGAGAAUGGGAAGAGGCGAAGUAGUAUAGCAUCUUUGGGAACUCCUGAUAUGGUGAAUGUGUUGCAAAUCUCCAAGAAGUGUUGUAAAUGAGCACUAGCAUCUUCGUGUGCCUUCCCACAGAACUGGUUGGAUUGCACCAUGUUGAUAAGUCCAGGCUUGAGCUCAAAGUUGCCAUCGAUCUCUGCAGCAGGUCCAGUGCGGAUGUUGUCCGUAGUGGGAGCUGAGAACUCGCGGAUUGAUUUGUUCGCCAUGGCUUCAAACUCUGAAGACAAGUUCCGGUGAUCUUCUUGAUUUGGAUGAAGCUUCUUGCUGAAGUGUUGAUGAUUUCUUUAGCUUGGCUCUCGUCUUCUUGAAUAAUGCUUCGGGAUUAUUAACAAAAUUUCCUGGAAGAUGUCUUCUAUUCAUACAUUCCCCUGCAUAAGAUGAAAUAGGAAAAUAUCGGGGUAAAACUGUAUGAGAGAAUAGAUAAGCUCAAUCAUAUUAGUGAUGCAAAUGAUAACUCAAAAUCUUUUAUUCCAUUCCUGAUUAGUAAUCAACCUUCCCCGGCAACGGCGCCAAAAAUGCUUGUUGGGUAUUCUUAACAUCAUUACCAAAAGUAGCUAAGUUCUCUAAAUCUAGUAACGGUGCCAAAAAUGCCAAACCUAUCCCUCACACCACUUAAGCCAAGUUGUCAUCCCCAACAUGAUAUAAGAGACGCGGUAUUGAAAUAUGCAAUUGCUCUUCUAAAUAAAUAAUGAAUGGGAUCUGCAAGCGCACAGAUUAAUACCGAUGCAGCAUUUUAACCGGGAAGUAUUCCAGGUAUCGUUAUUUAUAUUUUUACCACUGGGAAGGGAUUAGCAAUCAUCAAUAUUGAUUACAGAAUAGAAUAUGAGAUUGAGCAUCUAUCAUUGCAUGUAUAAUUGAGAACAUUAUAUCUAACUCAUCAUACAGGGAUAAGUGUCACAUAAAAGAUAUAUGAAAUAGUGAAUAGUGACAAGGAUAAUUAAUCUGAUCUAGCCACAUAAUAAAUAUGAUAAGCACCUCAAUUAGAUACUCUAGAAAGUCAUUAGCAUGGUAUUAGAACGAACUACAUGAAUAUUCCCUAAGUUAUUCUCAACUAUAUAGUCUAGCAUUAUCAUAAUUAGUGCAAGCAUACUUAGCAAUCAUCGCGAGACAAGACUACGCCCAUGCAUAGUGAUAUUAGCAAGGAAUAUGAGAAACAUAGCAAUCACUCCCCUUUAAUAAUGUUGCUCUGCCAACCCAAUACACGAGAGGGGGACUAUAUAAGAAUCAAUGAAGCUGUCACUAUCACGAACUACCCCACGAUCUGGCAUAUUGGGUACAAUCACAGAUAAAUACGGUAUAAGCACCACGCCUACACAAUAUCUAUCAUUUACCCAUGGAUCCGAUGGAUAAACGCUAUACGAUCCUAAGCAUGUAUAUAGAUCGAAUCUAACUAAGCCAAGUACAUAACUAUGAUAAACUAAGAACAAUAUAAUCUUGAAUAUAAGCAAGUAGAGCAAAGUCAUAAGCAAUAUAUUGAAGUAGAACAAAGUCAUAUUCAUAAUAUUGAAGAACAAAGAUAAUUAGAAGGCAAUUAGAAGCACAAUUAGAGAAUUACCAAGAAUCCUCUUGACAGAUCCGGAAACCAAUCGAAGAUUGACUCCUUCUAGUUCUAAUCCUAUGUAGCUAUGCUAAUCUAGAUGUCUAAUUGAUGUGGUGGCUCUAAUCUUGAUCAGGGGCUUCUUCUCCCUUGAAGAACAAUGAAUUAGGGUUGAGAGGCUCCCUCCUCCAGGGGCCAGGGGGUCUGGUUUUAUAGUCCCUUCAAGUGAAUAUGGGCCGUUGGAUCAAACCGACAUAGAUUGUAUGGUUUAGAUUCAUCCUUUAGGUCGGUGGAAAUCUCCCGCAAAGCAGAGUCCUGAUUGGACUCAGAGGCAGGGCGGGCGCCCUGACCAACUGGGCGGGCGCCCAGGGUCUGGCCCCGUUUCGCCUCCGCUUCGGUCUCGUGGCUUCUGCAGUCUUCUAGAUGUAAGAUAAUUGCGCGUCACGUUAAUAUCUUUACGUAAUCCCGACGUGUGGGUCUUUCUUCCGUAUUUCCUGAUAACUCCCUGCAGAAAUAGACAAACACAAAAACUCGUGGAAUUCUGUCAGAUAAAACCCUAAGUCUAGAUGUUGAUUUCAUUUGGAUCCUUUUCUUUGUUUAUUUGAUAAUUAAAUUUGAUACUUAAGGACCGUCAACAAACUCCCCCAAGCUUACCUCUUGCUCGUCCCUGAGCAAGGAUAGACUCAGCUAUGGAUCAUAAGUUGUUGCAAUAUAUUUAAAAAUUGACGGUACACAUGCUUUUUAAAUAAGAUCUCAUCUCUAAGUUAGAGUAAACUGUCAAGACUUAAAACUUACUUACUUUACCUUCACCAUGGGACUUGUAACUGUCACUUCUAUCUUGAGUAGUUAAAAGAUAGAACAGUCUAGUCAAGUGCCAUGUCUCUUAUUCUUGAUCAGCUAUAGCUCUGGGGUUUUUGCAGAUUUUCAAAUAAAACUCAGAGAUUCCUUGUAUGAUUCUCUCAGAUCUCUCUUUUGUGGUAUUUCUGGAUCCUUACCAAGGCAGUAAUGGUAUAUGCCUUCUCUCAAUAUAUGUGGUAUUUGUGGUAUAAAGCAUAGUGACAUUGCCUUCUCUCUCACCCUACUCUAAUAAGGCUUUAAUAUCUGGAGCUCAUAGGUGGGAGAUAAAGUAUACAUACUUACAAGACAAGUAUUGUAUAGUCAAACCAUGGAUCCAAAGAAACAAAUCAAUAAGCCAAAUCAAGAUGUGCAUGUGUGGCGAAUGAAUGAUGUAUGGUGGUGAUGGUGAUAACAAUGGUGAAAACAAUGGUGGUGGAAGUCUAAUUCUACUUUGCUCUUUGAGGGGAUACAUACCUUCCUUGCUUUUUUUUUGAAUUUAUGAGGAGAAUGAGAUGCUCUUCUUUUUUUCUUUUCUCUCAGGUGGGUAUCUUGUACCCCUAAUUCUACUGUCGGACACUUGUCCAUUUUUACGUCUCGUCUCACUCUCUCUUUUCUUUCGAGGUUCCGAGCACUUGCUCCUUUUUAUUUCCUCGUAUUUCUCUUUUUUUUUCUUUUUCUUUUUUUUAGAGCAUUCAUCUCUUGAGAUAAUAUAGCAAGUGGUAGUAACAAGAUAACUUGAGCAUUUAUUUCACAAGGGAAAACAGAAAUAUUUUUGGCUAUUCUCUCCCGGAUUAGGAGUAGAAUAUUUUUGGGUGAUUCCGGAGUAGAAGUAGCAUAUAUGAGUGAACGUGCAAGUGAAUCUUGAUUUAACCACAUGACAAGUUCGUAAGGGUCUACACAGCUUGACCACACUCAAUGCUCAUAAGCAGUAAAUAGUAAAUGUGUGGCUCAAAGUCUAGCAAGCAUGUAUAUAUGGCUGUGGUAGGAAUUUAAACUCUCAUCAUACAGGAACUCAUCAUGCAACAUUUUAAAGAUUUUCAAAGAUAAAAUUCUCUAGAAAUCUAGCAUCUCUAGGAACAGAUAAACAGCAGCUCAACCUUCCCAUAUCGUAUCCGUUAACAACUUAGACUUCAGAUCAAAUUUUCAUCCCACAAGUUUAGGUCUAGAGCAAGCUUUAAAUUAUAACAGUUAUAUCUAACCUUGAGAGUGAACUUAAAAUGUGCAAAUUAGGCAGAGCAACUAUUCAUCAUUUCCAUGCUUAAGUUUUAUUUAGAUACAGAUUAGCAUCGCCACUUUAUUUAUUUAUUAAACACACUAAGCAAAAGAUAUAUAUAUAAGCUUAAAAUCUUUAUUUGGUUUUUUAUAGUUUAUGUAUAUUUAAUAUUCUAAUAUAAUAUAAGUAUAAAGAUAGAUAGAAAUACUUAUCGAGAUAAAUGGGGGUGCUCUCUCCCAAGCUGAAUUUUGACGAAGUCAGCAGCAUUCUGACAGCGAUUAGAAUGUCCUCCGUCUGCUAGUCUUCUUGAUUCUUAAAUUCUGCGGAGCUCAAAUAGACAACAAAGCUUGUGGAACUGAUUAAGUGUUAGCAUAAAUAUCUAGCCUUUAUCAUCUUGAGACUCCUUAAUAAUUAUUACUCCCUGUUUUUAUAUUUUUAUUUUAUAAAGCAGAAAAGAAAUUUUUAUUUUAUUUUUAUGCCACCACAGUGAAUGUACUUAUGGGUUUUAUGCCACUCGCAUACUCACAUGUACUUAUGGGUUUUAUGACUUUCCUUACCGUUCCUAUGUGUUUCCCUCUUGAUUCCCUUUUUUGACUCCCUGGCAACGGCGCCAGAAAUGCUUGUUGACACUAGCUAACACCACUUAGAUACUAUGUUGUCAUCCCCAGCAUGGUGCCAGAGUGUACAAAGGUAUUUAUGAAUAUGGAGGCUCUCUAGAAAAUAAUCUAUUCUAUCCACAUGCGCACAGAUAAAAUACCUCAUUGUAGCAUUUCACCAGGAAAGUAUUCUAGGUAUCGUUAUUUAUAAUUUUGCUUAAGACAACAAGGGUGAAAUUAAGAUAAGGAUAAAAUCUAUCAAGGCAUAGACUAGAGAUAAACUUGCAACAACAUGAUUACUAAUGAGGAACUCGUCACACAGUCACUUAUUUUGGCAGGGGGUAAGCCAUAAUAAUAAUGAUAAUGAAAUAUAAGCCCAUGGGUAAUUAACACAGCGAUUAGAAAAUAGACUACUCCUGGUGACGUCGGAUUAGCUAGAGAAUGGAUUCUAAGUUAUCUACUAUCUACUAAGUCACAAUCUACUCUAGUUAUCUACAAGAUCAUAUAUAGCAUAAAACACUCUUCAUUUAUGUAUAAGGAACAUUGCUAAAGUAAAUCAGAGCAUUGCAAGACUUACUCCGCAAUACAAAUUCUGCCAGUCCUAUCAACGGAGGGUGGACUAUAUAAGAAUCAACGAAGCUGUCACUAUCACAAACUACCACACAACCCGACUAAUAGGAUACAUUUGCAGGUAAAUAACAUCUAAGCACCACGCCCACAUGUGAUCUACCACUUAACUCCCACGUGUCAAGAGCUAAGUGCUUUGCAAACUUAUACAUAAACUCAUUAUUAAUCAUAACUAUAUCAAACAUAGAACU
Molecule: long non-coding RNA, 10047 nt
Filed under: Sorghum bicolor (sorghum)
Lineage: Eukaryota; Viridiplantae; Streptophyta; Magnoliopsida; Poales; Poaceae
Description: long non-coding RNA (SBIC_LNC012420)
Rfam family: Plant small nucleolar RNA R71 (bases 4783-4889)
Source: RNAcentral